AGAUGGACCGUGUUCGGGAGUAAUCCCUUUGUUCCAAUGGGAAAAUUCUCCUCGAUAGUACCCGUAGUUACUGUCGGGUCCAUAUCGAAAGGGUGGAUAGUCCCAGGAUGGCGAACCGGCUGGCUUGCACUGCACGAUAUAAAUGGUGACUUCAAAACCACCAAGGUCUUAAAAGCUGCUAAAGAAUAUCUUGAGAUUAGUUCUAAACCACCAACUGUUAUCCAGGCGGCUAUUCCUACCAUCUUGGAGAAAAC
Molecule: non-coding RNA, 254 nt
Organism: Camelina sativa (false flax)
Lineage: Eukaryota; Viridiplantae; Streptophyta; Magnoliopsida; Brassicales; Brassicaceae
Source: RefSeq, a predicted model, not a curated record